UACGGAGGGUGCGAGCGUUGUCCGGAUUUAUUGGGUUUAAAGGGUGCGUAGGCGGCUUUUUUAAGUCAGCGGUGAAAUUUUGCAGCUUAACUGUAACAGUGCCGUUGAUACUGGGGAGCUAGGAUUUGGUUGCUGUGGGUGGAAUGUGUGGUGCAGCGGUGAAAUGCUUAGAGAUCACACAGAAUAUCGAUUGCGAAGGCAGCUCACAAAGCCAAGAUUGACGCUGAGGCACGAAAGUGUGGGGAUCAAACAGGAUUAGA
RNAcentral lists this ribosomal RNA (260 nucleotides) under uncultured prokaryote. RNAcentral's name for it is "partial 16S ribosomal RNA". It matches the Rfam family "Bacterial small subunit ribosomal RNA", at positions 524 to 782 of the family's 1533-position model. The record is from RNAcentral.